AGUGAACGCUGGCGGUAGGCCUAACACAUGCAAGUCGAACGGCAGCACAGUAAGAGCUUGCUCUUACGGGUGGCGAGUGGCGGACGGGUGAGGAAUACAUCGGAAUCUACUUUUUCGUGGGGGAUAACGUAGGGAAACUUACGCUAAUACCGCAUACGACCUACGGGUGAAAGCAGGGGAUCUUCGGACCUUGUGCGAUUGAAUGAGCCGAUGUCGGAUUAGCUAGUUGGCGGGGUAAAGGCCCACCAAGGCGACGAUCCGUAGCUGGUCUGAGAGGAUGAUAGGCCACACUGGAACUGAGACACGGUCCAGAGUCCUACGGGAGGCAGCAGUGGGGAAUAUGAGACAAUGGGCGCAAGCCUGAUCCAGCCAGACCGCGUGGGUGAAGAAGGCCUUCGGGUUGUAAAGCCCUUUUGUUGGGAAAGAAAAGCAGCAGGUUAAUACCCCGCUGUUCUGACGGUACCCAAAGAAUAAGCACCGGCUAACUUCGUG
RNAcentral lists this ribosomal RNA (492 nucleotides) under uncultured bacterium. RNAcentral's name for it is "partial 16S ribosomal RNA". It matches the Rfam family "Bacterial small subunit ribosomal RNA", at positions 29 to 507 of the family's 1533-position model. The record is from RNAcentral.